ACGCUCGACACCUACGGGAAGCAGCAGUGGGGGAUAUUGCACAAUGGGGGAAACCCUGAUGCAGCAACGCCGCGUGAAGGAAGAAGGUCUUCGGAUUGUAAACUUCUGUCCUCAGGGAAGAUAAUGACGGUACCUGAGGAGGAAGCUCCGGCUAACUACGUGCCAGCAGCGCGGUAAUCUGAGCGGGCUGGCAAGGC
Molecule: ribosomal RNA, 197 nt
Filed under: uncultured bacterium
Lineage: Bacteria
Description: partial 16S ribosomal RNA
Rfam family: Bacterial small subunit ribosomal RNA
Source: RNAcentral